This 1785-nucleotide long non-coding RNA is filed under the name Oreochromis niloticus (Nile tilapia). RNAcentral's name for it is "lncRNA (ENSONIG00000031091.1)". Lineage: Eukaryota; Metazoa; Chordata; Actinopteri; Cichliformes; Cichlidae. The record is from RNAcentral.
AAUUUUUCAAAUUCAAGGUAAGGGAAGGGGCAAUAAGGCAAAGCAAAGAAAUUAAAAAAAGAAAUGACACUAAAGAAAUCAGUAUUAUGAAUGAAUUAAACACAUUAAUGAAGAAAGAUGCUCUAUCAGAUGAUGAAGAAAUUAAAUUGAAAAGACUAAAGGAAGAAAUAGAUAAGGCAUAUAUUAACAUGGCUAAAGGGGCUUUUAUAAGGUCCAAAGCAAAAUGGCUAGAACUAUAUGGAAGAAAUCAUCAGAAUCCAACUAUUUUUAGACAUUGAAUUUAUAACACUGAAUUUUUAUCCUCCAAAUUUCCCUGCAAAAAUAUUCACCUGCAAAAAUUCACCUGCAAAAAAUUCAACUGCAAAAAUUCACCUGCAAAAAUUCACCUGCAAAAAUUCACCUGCAAAAUUUCAACUGCAAAAGUGAUGAACUUAAAUGACCCAAGCCAGAGCAAUCAGCACAAGAUCGAGUCGAGCGGCUCUCAGACAAUUAAAUUAUGCUGUUUGAUCACAUGACACCGUUAGCCAGCAGUGUGUCUCCUGAAAAGAGAGCUGUUUAGAGGUGAGUGAUUAAGUUUUUCUCCUAAAUAGGGAUCAUUACAGAACGCCUAGUCCUACUUAAAAUCCCAUUCAUUUUUCUUUUAUUUUAUCAUCUACUCGAACUGAGGAAAACGUUUGACUAACUCAAAGAAAAUUUCCGCGCCUCCCCUGCCUGUCUGCAGAGGCAGUUUUGAAUUUAGGAGCGGCAAGAUGGCAGCGGCAAACCCUGGCGGUUCUCCGAUUAUGCAAGAUGAAAUUAUUCAGUCAGCAAGACACUUGCUGCAGUUGCUGACAUCAUCCAACCGAACUGCUGCUGUGAUGAAUCAGAAUACAAGGUUUACUUUAGCAAGACUUAUGACUUAAUGCUACAUGUAACUAAAUUGUUAUAUAUAUAUUUAUUUAUUUGUCCAAUAUUGUCUCUAUAUGAUUUUGUUUUUUGCAACAUCUUGCAGAGAACAGAGUCAAGGUGGCCAGGGUACCAGCUCGGUCAACCCUGAAAGACCAUCCGUUCAGCAAGAAAUGACCAGGUCUUUUCCUGGUAUUUUCUCAAGAGGAAAGGGGAAAAGGCGAUUCCCUGCUACAUCUCUGGUGCCUGCUAAGAAGCCUAAACCUCUUGAAGUGGUAUUUUAUUUGCUCCCAAAACAAAUGGAGAAGACCCCAAAUGAACAUGAAAAAUAUAUCCACACACAGGCAGGAAUGGGUCAAAGAACAGGACAUCUUGAUGAGAGCACAACACAUGAAGAGUUAAAGGAUGCCCUGAAUGAUUUGUUUCCCAAACUGAAGGAGGUAACAGGUGGCUGGCUGCUGUUCAAACCUGGGGGUGUGUAUGAAAUCUGCACUGUGUUAGGAUGCAUUGUCUAAAUUAAACUAGGAACUGAUCCUGCUGUUUAAUAAGUAUUUUUAGGACAAGUUCUGUUUCACUGCAUGUUGUGAAUUCCUAAUACAUAAAUAUAUCUUAAAAGAAAUACUUGUGUUCAUUACUUUAUUUUGGUGAUCUGACAGGGGAUACAGCUAUCGGACAAGGAGUAAUACGUUUUUUCUUAUCAACCUGCAUGGAGAAGCUGAUGUCUGGUUUUUGCAUCAAUUUUGGUUAGUUUGUUUUUGGUUGACGAUACCUAUGUUUGAUGAUCAUUAUAUUGUAUAACUUUUCAUAACUUAAUUAACUGUCAGGUUUUUUUGUGAAAACCUCUGUAUUGUGUGGAAGUAAUCUUUUUUUUUCUUUCUUUUCAUUUAUCUUAUAGCAAAC